RNAcentral lists this long non-coding RNA (424 nucleotides) under Homo sapiens (human). RNAcentral's name for it is "non-protein coding lnc-ARHGEF5-2:1". The record is from RNAcentral. Lineage: Eukaryota; Metazoa; Chordata; Mammalia; Primates; Hominidae.
GGCAGGUCAGGGGUGUCAAGGUGCCCCAACCCAGUAUGUGCAGAUGGGAUGGUGGGAUCUAGGUAGACCCAUGAUGAGAACAGAGGGGACAACAUGGAGUCUUGUUGGAAAGGCAGACUUUGUGAUAGCUCUUGCUUGAUUUUAUAUCUUGGUGGACCAUCAGAUUCUGAUUUUAAUGCAAAUACAUUCCAUUCCUUUAAAUAUAUACACUCUCUUCCAUAUGUAUUAUAAAUAAAAAAGAACUUAUUUAGAAUAGCUCUGGGCUCACUCAUGUUUUUGUAUAUUACUGUAUCCUUUUGGAGCUGUUCUCCAAACUCUAGAGGCACCAUUCAGACAGAAGAAAUCAAUUUCAGACACGAUGGGAUAACAGUUUUCAACUCACUGGGCUGCAAGUUUGCAGGUCUCUGGAAAAAUUGUAGAGAAA